RNAcentral lists this ribosomal RNA (442 nucleotides) under uncultured bacterium. RNAcentral describes it as "partial 16S ribosomal RNA". It matches the Rfam family "Bacterial small subunit ribosomal RNA", at positions 338 to 795 of the family's 1533-position model. The record is from RNAcentral.
CCUACGGGAGGCAGCAGUGGGGAAUAUUGGGCAAUGGGCGCAAGCCUGACCCAGCAACGCCGCGUGAAGGAAGAAGGCUUGCGGGGUGGAAACGGCUGGUGGCAGGGAAGAGAAGAAGACGGUACCAGACGAAUAAGCCACGGCUAACUACGUGCCAGCAGCCGCGGUAAUACGUAGGUGGCAAGCGUUGUCCGGAUUUACUGGGUGUAAAGGGCGUGUAGCCGGGUUGACAAGUGAGCUGUGAAAUCCUGCGGCUUAACCGCAGAACUGCAUUUGAAACUGUUGAUCUUGAGUACUGGAGAGGCAGGCGGAAUUCCUAGUGUAGCGGUGAAAUGCGUAGAUAUUUGGAGGAACACCAGUGGCGAAGGCGGUCUGCUGGACCGCAACUGACGGUGAGGCGCGAAAGCGUGGGGAGCAAACCGGAUUAGCUACCCGUGUCGUC